Molecule: ribosomal RNA, 318 nt
Filed under: Triticum aestivum (bread wheat)
Lineage: Eukaryota; Viridiplantae; Streptophyta; Magnoliopsida; Poales; Poaceae
Description: partial small subunit ribosomal RNA
Source: RNAcentral
AUGGCGCCACCUCUCUCCUGCCCUUCUUCCUAUGGCGUCGCCCUUCUCCUCCACUUCCUCCCCAUAGUCGAUGUUGCUGAUGUGGAUGGUGGGGCCAAGGGCGACGGACUGGCUGGUGUCCAGGGCGGCGUGUGCGGUGUGGCCAAGAACGACGGCCAGCACACCACGGCAUCCUCCCCAAUCGUCACGCUGCUCCCUCCCCUACCGGAUCCAAUCUCGGGUCAACGCCAUCAUACGAGACCAAAAAUGGUUGUAGAAGGACUGAAGGAGAUGCAGCUCCUACAAGGAGAGGUUAUGGGGGUGGGGGAGCUGCUGUAA